UAGGGAAUCUUCGGCAAUGGACGGAAGUCUGACCGAGCAACGCCGCGUGAGUGAAGAAGGUCUUCGGAUCGUAAAGCUCUGUUGUUAGAGAAGAACGUUGGUAGGAGUGGAAAAUCUACCAAGUGACGGUAACUAACCAGAAAGGGACGGCUAACUACGUGCCAGCAGCCGCGGUAAUACGUAGGUCCCGAGCGUUGUCCGGAUUUAUUGGGCGUAAAGCGAGCGCAGGCGGUUCUUUAAGUCUGAAGUUAAAGGCAGUGGCUUAACCAUUGUACGCUUUGGAAACUGGAGGACUUGAGUGCAGAAGGGGAGGGAGAAAUUCCAUGUGUAGCGGUGAAAUGCGUAGAUAUAUGGAGGAACACCGGUGGCGAAAGCGGCUCUCUGGUCUGUAACUGACGCUGAGGCUCGAAAGCGGGGGGAGCAAACAGG
This 429-nucleotide ribosomal RNA is filed under the name Bacillota bacterium. Its description in RNAcentral is "Firmicutes bacterium partial 16S ribosomal RNA". It matches the Rfam family "Bacterial small subunit ribosomal RNA", at positions 355 to 776 of the family's 1533-position model. Lineage: Bacteria; Bacillati; Bacillota. The record is from RNAcentral.